AAGUUAUCAAGAGUGCAGGGAGGGAACUAGCCCAAUGAACUGCCAGCAACCCUACGAUAGUGUAGAAGGUGCUACCUCUAGCCCACCGUGGGGAGAUACGA
This 101-nucleotide non-coding RNA is filed under the name Candidatus Tayloriibacteriota. Its description in RNAcentral is "Candidatus Taylorbacteria SAM-I sequence". It matches the Rfam family "SAM riboswitch aptamer (S box leader)". From Rfam's summary of the family: The SAM riboswitch is found upstream of a number of genes which code for proteins involved in methionine or cysteine biosynthesis in Gram-positive bacteria. The SAM riboswitch acts at the level of transcription termination control. The predicted structure consists of a complex stem-loop region followed by a single stem loop terminator region. The record is from RNAcentral.